GAGGACUAUAAGAGGUAGCAAGCCGGUACUUCGACGCCUGAGUGUUUUGCCUCUUCGUGGUUACCCAAGCCUCGUUCGUUAAGAGAUCUCAGGAGGACUUUCUAACAGUUUAAGGACUCUGGAUUGUCGCUUUUUUCCCGCUGGCAGCUGGAUCAGACGUUUGCUUCACAACUUCAGGCGAACCCUGUCCACCCUCCUCCGUACCUCUCAGAACUACCUUGCUCCGAUGUGCAGUGUUGCUCGCUGCCCCUCCAGUAUCACAACCUCUCUCCCUGGCGGACCUAACUCAACCUGACUCGCUCAGCAGCCUCUGUUUCCAGUACCUGGUUCCGCAAAUAAAGCUUCUGAAACACUUCUCUGUUUAAUCAUGUUUUUCUGCAUGUGGGUCAAGUCGGCCAUCAACAAUAUGACAGUUUUUACUGGUUUUAUAUCUUCUACCCAUUGUAAAGCUAAUAAUAUUGCCAACAUUUCUCUCUUAUUGUAAUGGGAUUGUUAAGUUUUUAUCAAUGCACCACUCACAAGUACCAGCUAAACCAUUUGAAACCAUUGUUAAAUCAAUAACUGAUUCCAUCCCUGUUCUCACAUUGAUUCUUGUUCCCCUCCCAUCAUUAAUACAUACUAGAUUUUUUAUUUCCAUUAAUUCUUCUAUAACUUGUCCAUUUUUAUCAUUACAGUUACCCCACAAUGUACUAUUUGCAUUAAAAGGCCCACACCAAAUUACUUUCCCUUCCAAAUAUUCA
Long non-coding RNA from Girardinichthys multiradiatus, 740 nucleotides. RefSeq lists it as uncharacterized. The record is from RefSeq and is a predicted model, not a curated record. Lineage: Eukaryota; Metazoa; Chordata; Actinopteri; Cyprinodontiformes; Goodeidae. The transcript is spliced from 3 exons.